UCGCGAAAACUUUGCAAUAAGCGAAAGCUUGACAGGGCUAUCCCGAGUGCCAUCCGCUGAGGAAGGCUUUUACCCAGUCUAGAACGCUGGGAGAAUAAGGAGAGGGCAAGUCUGGUGUCAGCCGCCGCGGUAAUACCAGCUCUCCGAGUGGUGUGGAUGUUUAUUGGGCCUAAAGCAUCCGUAGCUGGCCAGGCAAGUCCCCUGUUAAAUCCACCGAAUCAAUCGUUGGAUUGCGGGGGAUACUGCCCGGCUAGGGGACGGGAGAGGCCGACGGUAUUUCCGGGGUAGGGGUGAAAUCCUAUAAUCCCGGGAGGACCACCAGUGGCGAAGGCUGUCGGCUAGAACGCGCCCGACGGUGAGGGAUGAAAGCUGGGGGA
This 377-nucleotide ribosomal RNA is filed under the name uncultured miscellaneous Crenarchaeota group. Its description in RNAcentral is "bacterial SSU rRNA". It matches the Rfam family "Archaeal small subunit ribosomal RNA", at positions 339 to 718 of the family's 1478-position model. Lineage: Archaea; Thermoproteati; Candidatus Bathyarchaeota. The record is from RNAcentral.